CCUACGGGAGGCAGCAGUGGGGAAUAUUGGACAAUGGGCGAAAGCCUGAUCCAGCCAUGCCGCGUGUGUGAAGAAGGCCUUCGGGUUGUAAAGCACUUUCAGUGGGGAAGAAAGCCUUGGGGCUAAUACCCUCGAGGAAGGACAUCACCCACAGAAGAAGCACCGGCUAACUCCGUGCCAGCAGCCGCGGUAAUACGGAGGGUGCGAGCGUUAAUCGGAAUUACUGGGCGUAAAGCGCGCGUAGGCGGUCUGAUAAGCCGGUUGUGAAAGCCCCGGGCUCAACCUGGGAACGGCAUCCGGAACUGUCAGGCUAGAGUGCAGGAGAGGAAGGUAGAAUUCCCGGUGUAGCGGUGACAUGCGUAGAGAUCGGGAGGAAUACCAGUGGCGAAGGCGGCCUUCUGGACUGACACUGACGCUGAGGUGCGAAAGCGUGGGUAGCAAACAGGAUUAGAUACCCCGGUAGUC
This 465-nucleotide ribosomal RNA is filed under the name Vreelandella stevensii. Its description in RNAcentral is "partial 16S ribosomal RNA". It matches the Rfam family "Bacterial small subunit ribosomal RNA", at positions 338 to 795 of the family's 1533-position model. The record is from RNAcentral. Lineage: Bacteria; Pseudomonadati; Pseudomonadota; Gammaproteobacteria; Oceanospirillales; Halomonadaceae.